Rhipicephalus sanguineus (brown dog tick) is the source of this 1387-nucleotide long non-coding RNA. RefSeq lists it as uncharacterized. The record is from RefSeq and is a predicted model, not a curated record. Lineage: Eukaryota; Metazoa; Arthropoda; Arachnida; Ixodida; Ixodidae. The transcript is spliced from 2 exons.
CCCCCCGUCCGAGCGAGAAUGGCGUCUCGAAGGAACACCUCAAGCUCUUUGAGCACAGCCAAACAGGCGGCCUGCAAUCGGGCAACCCCGGCAGCGGAGGCGGCGUCAAGCGCAAGCACCGCGACGGUGCCGCCGCUGGUGCAGGCGGCGGCACCAACGCGGGCGGCGGAGGCGCCGAAGAGAGCGAAGAGGAAGAUGGUGGCCUAGCGCCACCUGCGCACGACAUCUAUCGAUCGCGGCAACAGAAAAAGCUCAUGUUUUAGAGUGCGGGGGUCGCAAAGUUGUCAGACGGUGUUGAGAGAGUGCUCACUCAAGGAUUUUUGUGUCGUUUGGGCGACUGCAGCGAGAGACGUCGAGAGGCUGCACGGACCCUUCCUCUUCUUCCUCUCCCAUCACAUCCUUUUACUUCGUUUUUUUUUUCUUUCACACUUUGAGGGACCUCUGAAAGGACUCUCAAUUUGUUGGACAUCGUGGACUUAUACAUAGUACUAUAUGUAUAUUUGCGUGAUUCUUGUAGUGCGCGGAUGGUGCGUUUGUGUACAGCGAAAUGAUUGUGAAGAAAACAUUUGCAAGGAAAGAAAAGAACGCUUCAAAAAAAAAAAAAAAAAGGUGAUGCCUUUAACGCUGCUUCGAUUUUUAUCGCCUAACCGAGGAAGUGAAUUUAAGUGAAACUUUACCACAAACAUUCUACAAAUUGUAUUACUAAUUUGCCACGUUGUUUCUCAUCUUGUUCGUCCUCAUUUCUUAUCUCAGAUCGUCAGAUUAUGUACAUUGCGGGAAAAAUUUUGAUGUUGAGGUAACAAAGGAAUGCUUGAUCACCUGCUUUCAAUCUUAAAUGCCUUUUAAUGGCAUUUAAGUGACAUCUGUUAAAUCUGUGCCUUAACAUACGAAUACAAAAAGUAAGUUUUGUGGUUGAAACGGAUUACAUAUCUUCUAUACAGAUAUGACAAGACAUCACAACUUUGUUUGCAACUGAAAUACUGAGUGGCUAGACGUACUUCAAGGUUUCACCUUCACAUGUCAUGGGCUAGUGAAAUAAAUAAGCAAAAAAAAAGAUAAUAAUAGGAAGGAUAUUGCGUUAAAGGCUCCACCUUUCGACAUCCAUCCAUUGAAAGACUGCUCGACAGCGCUCAUUCCAUUUCAAGUUUUGUAGGUGAUGCGUGUUCCAUUAUUGUAAAUAAAACAGUGUAAGCCUUUUAAGUGAAUCUGCUGCGAGUGCUCCUGGUGUUGGCGAAUAAAAUUACGUUGCGAAUGCAGUUGUCCAUCCACUUGGAGAGCGUGUCAUUGGAAGAAUGUUUGUUGUUGCCAUGGUAACAUUGUCACUUGUACGAUCACUAUGUCCCAAUCGGUGAUUGUGCCUUCCCUACGUUUUUUGUUCAAAUAAAAA